GAUGAACGCUGGCGGCGUGCCUAAUACAUGCAAGUCGAGCGAACGGACGAGAAGCUUGCUUCUCUGAUGUUAGCGGCGGACGGGUGAGUAACACGUGGAUAACCUACCUAUAAGACUGGGAUAACUUCGGGAAACCGGAGCUAAUACCGGAUAAUAUUUUGAACCGCAUGGUUCAAAAGUGAAAGACGGUCUUGCUGUCACUUAUAGAUGGAUCCGCGCUGCAUUAGCUAGUUGGUAAGGUAACGGCUUACCAAGGCAACGAUGCAUAGCCGACCUGAGAGGGUGAUCGGCCACACUGGAACUGAGACACGGUCCAGACUCCUACGGGAGGCAGCAGUAGGGAAUCUUCCGCAAUGGGCGAAAGCCUGACGGAGCAACGCCGCGUGAGUGAUGAAGGUCUUCGGAUCGUAAAACUCUGUUAUUAGGGAAGAACAUAUGUGUAAGUAACUGUGCACAUCUUGACGGUACCUAAUCAGAAAGCCACGGCUAACUACGUGCCAGCAGCCGCGGUAAUACGUAGGUGGCAAGCGUUAUCCGGAAUUAUUGGGCGUAAAAGCGCGCGUAGGCGGUUUUUUAAGUCUGAUGUGAAAGCCCGCGGCUCAACCGUGGAGGGUCAUUGGAAACUGGAAAACUUGAGUGCAGAAGAGGAAAGUGGAAUUCCAUGUGUAGCGGUGAAAUGCGCAGAGAUAUGGAGGAACACCAGUGGCGAAGGCGACUUUCUGGUCUGUAACUGACGCUGAUGUGCGAAAGCGUGGGGAUCAAACAGGAUUAGAUACCCUGGUAGUCCACGCCGUAAACGAUGAGUGCUAAGUGUUAGGGGGUUUCCGCCCCUUAGUGCUGCAGCUAACGCAUUAAGCACUCCGCCUGGGGAGUACGACCGCAAGGUUGAAACUCAAAGGAAUUGACGGGGACCCGCACAAGCGGUGGAGCAUGUGGUUUAAUUCGAAGCAACGCGAAGAACCUUACCAAAUCUUGACAUCCUUUGACAACUCUAGAGAUAGAGCUUUCCCCUUCGGGGGACAAAGUGACAGGUGGUGCAUGGUUGUCGUCAGCUCGUGUCGUGAGAUGUUGGGUUAAGUCCCGCAACGAGCGCAACCCUUAAGCUUAGUUGCCAUCAUUAAGUUGGGCACUCUAAGUUGACUGCCGGUGACAAACCGGAGGAAGGUGGGGAUGACGUCAAAUCAUCAUGCCCCUUAUGAUUUGGGCUACACACGUGCUACAAUGGACAAUACAAAGGGCAGCGAAACCGUGAGGUCAAGCAAAUCCCAUAAAGUUGUUCUCAGUUCGGAUCGUAGUCUGCAACUCGACUACAUGAAGCUGGAAUCGCUAGUAAUCGUAGAUCAGCAUGCUACGGUGAAUACGUUCCCGGGUCU
This 1373-nucleotide ribosomal RNA is filed under the name uncultured bacterium. Its description in RNAcentral is "bacterial SSU rRNA". It matches the Rfam family "Bacterial small subunit ribosomal RNA", at positions 28 to 1381 of the family's 1533-position model. The record is from RNAcentral.